AACGAACGCUGGCGGCAUGCCUAACACAUGCAAGUCGAACGAGACCUUCGGGUCUAGUGGCGCACGGGUGCGUAACGCGUGGGAACCUGCCCUUAGGUUCGGAAUAACUCCCCGAAAGGGGUGCUAAUACCGGAUAAUGUCUUCGGACCAAAGAUUUAUCGCCUUUGGAUGGGCCCGCGUUGGAUUAGCUAGUUGGUAGGGUAAAAGCCUACCAAGGCGACGAUCCAUAGCUGGUCUGAGAGGAUGAUCAGCCACACUGGGACUGAGACACGGCCCAGACUCCUACGGGGGGAGGCAGGGGGAAAUAUGGAAAAAGGGGGGAAGGCCUGACCAAGCAUGGCCGGGGGAGUGAUGAGGCCCUGGGGGUUGAAAAGCUUUUUUACCCGGGAGAAUAAGGACAGGCCGGGAAAAAUAGACCCCGGCAAACCCCGUG
This 433-nucleotide ribosomal RNA is filed under the name uncultured bacterium. RNAcentral describes it as "partial 16S ribosomal RNA". It matches the Rfam family "Bacterial small subunit ribosomal RNA", at positions 29 to 507 of the family's 1533-position model. The record is from RNAcentral.